CAGUAGCCGCGGUAAUACGGAGGGUGCAAGCGUUAUCCGGAUUUAUUGGGUUUAAAGGGUCCGUAGGCGGACUUAUAAGUCAGUGGUGAAAGCCUGUCGCUUAACGAUAGAACUGCCAUUGAUACUGUAAGUCUUGAGUAUAUUUGAGGUAGCUGGAAUAAGUAGUGUAGCGGUGAAAUGCAUAGAUAUUACUUAGAACACCAAUUGCGAAGGCAGGUUACCAAGAUAUAACUGACGCUGAGGGACGAAAGCGUGGGUAGCGAACAGGAUUAGAGACCCCCGUAGUCCCUGUCUCUUAUAC
RNAcentral lists this ribosomal RNA (301 nucleotides) under uncultured bacterium. Its description in RNAcentral is "partial 16S ribosomal RNA". It matches the Rfam family "Bacterial small subunit ribosomal RNA", at positions 509 to 807 of the family's 1533-position model. The record is from RNAcentral.